This 974-nucleotide ribosomal RNA is filed under the name uncultured bacterium. RNAcentral's name for it is "bacterial SSU rRNA". It matches the Rfam family "Bacterial small subunit ribosomal RNA", at positions 533 to 1506 of the family's 1533-position model. The record is from RNAcentral.
GGGGGCCGGUUUUCGGGAUUAUUGGGCGUAAGAGCUUGUAGGCGGUUUGUCGCGUCUGCCGUGAAAAUCCGGGGCUCAACCCCGGACUUGCGAUGGGUACGGGCAGACUAGAGUGUGGUAGGGGAGACUGGAAUUCCUGGUGUAGCGGUGAAAUGCGCAGAUAUCAGGAGGAACACCGAUGGCGAAGGCAGGUCUCUGGGCCACUACUGACGCUGAGAAGCGAAAGCGUGGGGAGCGAACAGGAUUAGAUACCCUGGUAGUCCACGCCGUAAACGUUGGGAACUAGGUGUGGGUCUCAUUCCACGAGAUCUGUGCCGCAGCUAACGCAUUAAGUUCCCCGCCUGGGGAGUACGGCCGCAAGGCUAAAACUCAAAGGAAUUGACGGGGGCCCGCACAAGCGGCGGAGCAUGUGGAUUAAUUCGAUGCAACGCGAAGAACCUUACCAAGGCUUGACAUACACCGGAAACACUCAGAGAUGGGUGCCCCGCAAGGUCGGUGUACAGGUGGUGCAUGGUUGUCGUCAGCUCGUGUCGUGAGAUGUUGGGUUAAGUCCCGCAACGAGCGCAACCCUCGUUCUAUGUUGCCAGCGCGUAAUGGCGGGGACUCAUAGGAGACUGCCGGGGUCAACUCGGAGGAAGGUGGGGAUGACGUCAAAUCAUCAUGCCCCUUAUGUCUUGGGCUUCACACAUGCUACAAUGGCCGGUACAAAGGGCUGCGAAAUCGCAAGAUGGAGCGAAUCCCAAAAAACCGGUCUCAGUUCGGAUUGGGGUCUGCAACUCGACCCCAUGAAGUCGGAGUCGCCAGUAAUCGCAGAUCAGCAACGCUGCGGUGAAUACGUUCCCGGGCCUUGUACACACCGCCCGUCAAGUCACGAAAGUCGGUAACACCCGAGCCGGUGGCCCAACCCUUGUGGAGGGAGCCGUCGAAAGUGGGACUGGCGAUUGGGGACUAAGUCGUAACAAGGUAACCAAGAA